AGAGUUUGAUCCUGGCUCAGAUUGAACGCUGGCGGCAUGCCUUACACAUGCAAGUCGAACGGUAACAGGUCUUCGGACGCUGACGAGUGGCGAACGGGUGAGUAAUACAUCGGAACGUGCCCAGUCGUGGGGGAUAACUACUCGAAAGAGUAGCUAAUACCGCAUACGAUCUGAGGAUGAAAGCGGGGGACCUUCGGGCCUCGCGCGAUUGGAGCGGCCGAUGGCAGAUUAGGUAGUUGGUGGGAUAAAAGCUUACCAAGCCGACGAUCUGUAGCUGGUCUGAGAGGACGACCAGCCACACUGGGACUGAGACACGGCCCAGACUCCUACGGGAGGCAGCAGUGGGGAAUUUUGGACAAUGGGCGAAAGCCUGAUCCAGCAAUGCCGCGUGCAGGAUGAAGGCCUUCGGGUUGUAAACUGCUUUUGUACGGAACGAAAAAGCUUCUCCUAAUACGAGAGGCCCAUGACGGUACCGUAAGAAUAAGCACCGGCUAACUACGUGCCAGCAGCCGCGGUAAUACGUAGGGUGCGAGCGUUAAUCGGAAUUACUGGGCGUAAAGCGUGCGCAGGCGGUUAUGUAAGACAGAUGUGAAAUCCCC
Molecule: ribosomal RNA, 599 nt
Filed under: uncultured freshwater bacterium
Lineage: Bacteria
Description: bacterial SSU rRNA
Rfam family: Bacterial small subunit ribosomal RNA
Source: RNAcentral